RNAcentral lists this small RNA (1366 nucleotides) under Arabidopsis thaliana (thale cress). RNAcentral describes it as "ATSL100360". The record is from RNAcentral. Lineage: Eukaryota; Viridiplantae; Streptophyta; Magnoliopsida; Brassicales; Brassicaceae.
AAAGGAUGAGAUUGUAUGGUUGUAGACGUGGAGACUAACUUGUAACUAAGCUUCAAAGAAUUGGUUGAACUAUCUAUUUGAAAAUCCUCUACAAGAAUAUCAACCAACGCGUGAUAGGUAAUGUGCUCAUCAAUGAGCACUAAAGAAGCUCCCAAUUCAAUGUCUAAUUCAAAUUCCCAAGUCAUAUUGUUUGUCAACUUCCACAAGCCACAAACAGAAUACAAUUCUAGCAUUAUAACCUGAUAAGAUAAAUAACAACAAAAUCAACACCCACAAAAACACUGUCACUACAGAGAGAAGCAAGGUUUAUAAAUCGUUUUAAAGAGUAAGUAAGUAGCAUAGAAUAAUUUACAAGGGAUUUUAAAAGCUUUGAAAAGUGGUUAACAUGGUUUACAAAUCGUUUUAAAGAGUAAGUAAGUAGCAUAGAAUAAUUUACAAGGGAUUUUAAAAGCUUUGAAAAGUGGUUAACAUGGUUUACAAAUUGUUUUAAAGCGUAAGUAAGUAGCAUAGAAUAAUUUACAAGGGAUUUUAAAAGCUUUGAAAAUUGGUUAACAUGGUUUACAAAUCGUUUUAAAGCGUAAGUAGCAUAGAAUAAUUUACAAGGGAUUUUAAAAACUUUGAAAAGUGGUUAACAUGCUUUACAAAUCGUUUUAAAGCGUAAGUGGCAUAGAUCUAUCACGAAAGCAUAUGCAAAAGAGGUAAACACUAAAUCAGAACCAAAAUCUAUUACGAAAUAGUAUAACGAAUUCACAUAAGCAAAUCUAUCACGAAACAGUAUAACGAAUUCAAAAGGAUUUUAGAACAGUAUAACGAAUGUACAAGGAUUUUAGAAACAAAUUCAAUCAUCAAAUCUCAAACAAAAUUCAAAUUCGAAGCUGAAGCAAAUGUCAAACUGUCGAUUGAAUCAGGAUUUAAAUAACGAGUUCACAUAAUCAACAACAAAAAUCGAAUAAACCAAUUCGAAAACGAAGAUUUAAGCUAACAUUAUAAAAUCAAACCUGGGAAACGCAAGAGAUUCGACGGCGACACACAGCUCUACUUACGACGGCGAAGAUGGGUUUUCACUGCGAGUAAACUCAUUAUUUCUGACGGCAUGGGAUUCAACGGCAUUCACAAUUUCCGAUGGAGGAAGAAGAGAGAGAGUGAAGAAAUGAAUUAGGUCUAUGGGUCGCUAAUUAAGGGUAAUUUGGGGAGAAAAAUAGGAAAGCUAAAGCAUGAUUGUUUCAAUUUUAGGACUGUAACUUUUUUAGUGCCUUUAACAAUUUCUUACAGCCCAACCAAUCAUAACCUUAAGUUAAUUUUUACAAAAAAUAAUUAUUAAAGUUACCUUAGUAUUUAUAACGAAAAAUUUUAUAAGACUCAAUUU